Molecule: ribosomal RNA, 484 nt
Filed under: uncultured bacterium
Lineage: Bacteria
Description: partial 16S ribosomal RNA
Rfam family: Bacterial small subunit ribosomal RNA
Source: RNAcentral
AUUGAACGCUGGCGGCAUGCUUUACACAUGCAAGUCGAACGGCAGCGCGGGCUUCGGCCUGGCGGCGAGUGGCGAACGGGUGAGUAAUGCAUCGGAACGUGCCCAGCAGUGGGGGAUAGCCCGGCGAAAGCCGGAUUAAUACCGCAUACGACCUGAGGGUGAAAGCGGGGGACCGAAAGGCCUCGCGCUAUUGGAGCGGCCGAUGUCGGAUUAGCUAGUUGGUGGGGUAAAGGCUUACCAAGGCGACGAUCCGUAGCUGGUCUGAGAGGACGACCAGCCACACUGGGACUGAGACACGGCCCAGACUCCUACGGGAGGCAGCAGUGGGGAAUUUUGGACAAUGGGGGCAACCCUGAUCCAGCCAUGCCGCGUGCGGGAAGAAGGCCUUCGGGUUGUAAACCGCUUUUGUUCGGGAAGAAAUCCUCUGGGCUAAUACCCCGGGGGGAUGACGGUACCGGAAGAAUAAGCACCGGCUAACUACGUG